Paramuricea clavata is the source of this 297-nucleotide non-coding RNA. The record is from the annotation of a GenBank genome assembly. Lineage: Eukaryota; Metazoa; Cnidaria; Anthozoa; Malacalcyonacea; Plexauridae.
UUUCGCUGUAUGUUAUUUUCGUUUAGCUUUAGUUUUAUUAAAUUAGCAUCACGAUUUGUCAGCUGCAUUAUUUGGCCGCUUAAUAUAAACAGAUUGUGUCAAAAACCUCACAGAAUUCAUUCUUUCGCCCACAGGCCACAACAACCCAGUGUUAUUUAAUAGUCGUUCUUUGCUAGAGAUUUAAAACAAUAAUGCCCAUGCAUCGGAUAGCUAAAAUUUAAUUAAACAUCACUGACUGACUCAAUCACUGUCGACAAAUUCGUUAGACCAAGACGCAUGUCAAUGGUUCAAGCCGGA